CAGUCGCCGCGGGAAAACGUAGGGUGCGAGCGUUAAUCGGAAUUACUGGGCGUAAAGCGUGCGCAGGCGGUUUUGUAAGACAGAGGUGAAAGCCCGGAGCUCAACUCCGGAACUGCCUUUGAGACUGCAUCACUUGAACGUCGGAGAGGUGAGUGGAAUUCCGAGUGUAGAGGUGAAAUUCGUAGAUAUUCGGAAGAACACCAGUGGCGAAGGCGGCGACCUGGUCCUUGACUGACGCUGAGGCGCGAAAGCGUGGGGAGCAAACAGGAUUAGAUACCCCAGUAGUCCAUGUCUCUUAUAA
This 301-nucleotide ribosomal RNA is filed under the name uncultured bacterium. RNAcentral describes it as "partial 16S ribosomal RNA". It matches the Rfam family "Bacterial small subunit ribosomal RNA", at positions 509 to 809 of the family's 1533-position model. The record is from RNAcentral.